This 178-nucleotide microRNA precursor is filed under the name Oryza brachyantha (malo sina). RNAcentral's name for it is "MIR812 microRNA precursor family". It matches the Rfam family "MIR812 microRNA precursor family", at positions 17 to 193 of the family's 205-position model. Lineage: Eukaryota; Viridiplantae; Streptophyta; Magnoliopsida; Poales; Poaceae. The record is from Rfam by way of RNAcentral.
UUUAGUUUUUACCUAUAAUGUUUGACUCUUUAUAUUAUUUAAAAAACCUACGAUUAAUAUUUUUAUUUUUAUUAGAUGAUAAAAUAUGAAUAGUACUUUACAUGUGACUAAUUUUUUUAAUUUUUUUUAAAAAAAUUAAAUAAGACGGAUGAUCAAACGCUAGACACAAAAACCAAAG